This 87-nucleotide transfer RNA is filed under the name Thermoprotei archaeon. RNAcentral describes it as "tRNA-Ser". It matches the Rfam family "tRNA". From Rfam's summary of the family: Transfer RNA (tRNA) molecules are approximately 80 nucleotides in length. Their secondary structure includes four short double-helical elements and three loops (D, anti-codon, and T loops). The record is from RNAcentral. Lineage: Archaea; Thermoproteati; Thermoproteota; Thermoprotei.
GCCGGGGUCGCCUAGCCUGGUUCAGGGCGGCGGGUUGCUAACCCGCUGGGGGAUAACCCCGCGCGGGUUCAAAUCCCGCCCCCGGCG